Molecule: unclassified non-coding RNA, 241 nt
Filed under: Hevea brasiliensis (rubber tree)
Lineage: Eukaryota; Viridiplantae; Streptophyta; Magnoliopsida; Malpighiales; Euphorbiaceae
Source: RNAcentral
UUCUGCACGCUGCUCAAGGAAGGUCAUCGUGUGCGUCUCUCGGGGCAGGAUUCCGAGCGCGGCACGUUCUCGCAGCGGCACUCGGUGCUGUUCGAUCAGGAAGAUGAAAGCCGUUACACGCCGUUCAAUCAUCUCGGCGACAAUCAGGGCCACUACGAGGUCAUCAACUCGCUGUUGUCCGAAGAAGCGGUGCUCGGCUUUGAAUACGGCUACUCGCUCGCCGAGCCGAAUGCGCUCACGA